This 889-nucleotide ribosomal RNA is filed under the name Polypedates cf. mutus CWL-2010. RNAcentral describes it as "partial 16S ribosomal RNA". It matches the Rfam family "Bacterial large subunit ribosomal RNA", at positions 1111 to 2602 of the family's 2925-position model. The record is from RNAcentral. Lineage: Eukaryota; Metazoa; Chordata; Amphibia; Anura; Rhacophoridae.
AGCAGCCACCUUUUAAAAAGCGUCAAAGCUUAACCUAAUUCCUCUAAAAUACCAUUAACCUUAAUGAACCCCUAAUCUAUAAUGAAUGACCCCAUAUAAAUAUGGAAGACACCAUGCUAGGAUAAGUAACAAGAAUUAAUAAUUCUCCAAAAUGCAAACAUACACCAGCAUGGAUAAACCAUUGGUAAUUACCGAAUCUGAACUUACUGCAACAACACUUACAAGAAAACCAUGCAGUAUUUGCUCGUUAACCUAACACUAGUGCAUUUCAGGAAAGAUUUAAAAAAAGAGAAGGAAUUCGGCAAAUGAAAACCCCGCCUGUUUACCAAAAACAUCGCCUCUUGAUUUAUGAUAAGAGGUCCAGCCUGCCCAGUGAAUUUUUAACGGCCGCGGUAUCCUAACCGCGCGAAGGUAGCAUAAUCACUUGUUCUUUAAAUGGGGACUCGUAUCAACGGCAUCACGAGGGUUUUACUGUCUCCUCUUUUUGAUCAGUGAAAUUGAUCUUCCCGUGAAGAAGCGGGAAUACUCAUAUAAGACGAGAAGACCCCAUGGAGCUUAAAACCAAAUGGUAACUUAACCACAUAUUUCCUUAUAACUUUAAGCCUAUACUAUGAGGUUUUUGGUUGGGGUGACCGCGGAGUAAAACAUAUCCUCCACGACGGAAAGACUACAAUCUUUAUUUAAGAACCACAGUUCUAAAAAUUAGCAUACUAACGUUUACUGACCCGAUAAUCGAUCAACGGAACAAGUUACCCUGGGGAUAACAGCGCAAUCUACUUCAAGAGCCCAUAUCGACGAGUAGGCUUACGACCUCGAUGUUGGAUCAGGGUAUCCCAGUGGUGCAGCCAUUACUGAAGGUUCGUUUGUUCAACGAUUAAAACCCUACGUG